UACGUAGGGUGCAAGCGUUGCCCGGAUUUAUUGGGCGUAAAGGGCGCGUAGGCGGCUCUGCACGUUCGUUGUGAAAUCGCCCGGCUCAACUGGGCGGGGUCAGCGGAUACGGUGUAGCUGGAGCAAGCUAGGGGGCAAUGGAAUUCCCGGUGUAGUGGUGGAAUGCGUAGAUAUCGAGAGGAACACCUGCGGCGAAGGCGGGUUGCUGGGCUGAUACUGACGCUGAUGCGCGAAAGCCAGGGGAGCGAACGGG
RNAcentral lists this ribosomal RNA (253 nucleotides) under uncultured bacterium. RNAcentral describes it as "partial 16S ribosomal RNA". It matches the Rfam family "Bacterial small subunit ribosomal RNA", at positions 524 to 776 of the family's 1533-position model. The record is from RNAcentral.